This 217-nucleotide long non-coding RNA is filed under the name Glycine max (soybean). RNAcentral's name for it is "long non-coding RNA (GMAX_LNC002490)". The record is from RNAcentral. Lineage: Eukaryota; Viridiplantae; Streptophyta; Magnoliopsida; Fabales; Fabaceae.
GGAGAAAGAAGAAGAAAAUCAAGGCUGAGGCGCUUCCAUAACGCUUCCAUGAUGUUUCCAUGAUCAAAUCCACGAACGUUCUUCGCCGUUCUUCGUCCGUUUUUCAUCGUUCAUCGUUCUUCGACCUGUUAGUUUUUGAUUUCGAAGCUUUGAAUUCAUUCUCUGCACCUUUAGGGGUCCAUUCUUGCUUUGUAUGUUUUCAUCUUCCUUCUUCAAC